Molecule: ribosomal RNA, 478 nt
Filed under: uncultured Planctomycetales bacterium
Lineage: Bacteria; Pseudomonadati; Planctomycetota; Planctomycetia; Planctomycetales
Description: bacterial SSU rRNA
Rfam family: Bacterial small subunit ribosomal RNA
Source: RNAcentral
UUUCGCAAUGCCCGAAAGGGUGACGAAGCGACGCCGCGUGUGGGAAGAAGGCCUUCGGGUUGUAAACCACUGUCGGGAGUUAAGAAAGGUGUACGGGUAAAUAGUCCGUGCAUUUGACAAAAGCUCCGGAGGAAGCCACGGCUAACUCUGUGCCAGCAGCCGCGGUAAUACAGAGGUGGCAAGCGUUGUUCGGAAUUAUUGGGCGUAAAGAGCACGUAGGCGGCCCUGCAAGUCAGCUGUGAAAGCCUCCUGCUUAACGGGAGAAGUGCAGUUGAAACUACGGGGCUAGAGUGCGGAAGGGGAGAGUGGAACUUCUGGUGGAGCGGUGAAAUGCGUAGAUAUCAGAAGGAACACCGGCGGCGAAAGCGGCUCUCUGGUCCGUAACUGACGCUGAGUGUGCGAAAGCUAGGGGAGCAAACGGGAUUAGAUACCCCGGUAGUCCUAGCCGUAAACGAUGGGCACUAAGUAGAGGGGUUUU